GAGAUGGUGGGGGACAGGGAAGCCUGUUGUGCUGUAGUCCAUGGGGUUGCAAAGAGUUGGACACUACUGGGUGACUGAACAGCGACAGCAACCACUUAGUGUUAGGCUUGUACACCUUGAAAGCACAGUCAUCAGCUUUUAAAAUACUGACAUUAUUACUGGUGAUUGCUCCAUUUACAAUUAGCAAAACUGUUUUGUUUCCCUGUUAUUAGUCAUCAUCACUGAUGCAUUAGUUCUAUCAUGAGAAUUGAAACAUUCUGUUUAGCAGAACUUUUCUUGAGCUACAGAUCAGACUUUCUAGGACAUUUUGGAUGCCUUAGGCAAAUAUAAAUUAAUAACUCAUCAUAAAGAAGUUAACUCUUUUUUUCUAUUCAGAAUCUACAAGCUAGGUCUAUGAAAACCUGUGAACUAGGCAGUUUUAUAUUCUGGCAAACUUUGAAAAUAUCUUAUAGUAUGCUUUUGAAAAGCAUUAGCUAUGGUACUGAUGGCCUGCUAAUCGGUUGUUUGGUGUGCAAUCCUUCAUUUUCUCUUUAGAGAAACUCUGUAUAUGUCUUCUUAAGAACUAAAUAAACUUUUAGGUAGAUCUGAGCUUCCCUAUGAAUAUUUUUAUUGAAAGAUAAAGAUUAUACUUCUCCAGGGGACCUUCCCAACUCAGGGAUCGAACCUGGGUCUCCUGCAUUACAGGCAGAUUCUUUACCAUCUGAGCCACCAGGGAAGCCUGUAUAGCAUACUAACUACCAGCUGUAGUACUGAUGGCAUGUUAACCAGUAUAUUUUGUCUGGUAUAGAAUGUUUCCUUUUCUCUUUAGAGAAACUCUGUGUAUGUUUUCUUAAGAACUAAAUAAACUUUUAGAUGGGCCUGGGCUUCCCUGUGAACAUUUUUAUUGACAAAUAAAGAUUAUGGAGAUUGAAGUGGAAGAUAAGGUCAAUAGUGCUUUAGAAUGAUGCUGCUCAUCUUUUCUUUUUAUAGCAAUAGUUGGGAUAAGAAAAGAAAAACACUAACUUCUAAAACUGUGUCUCAAACCUUUUCAGUACCACUUUUUAUUGUUUUCCUUGACUUGAUUUGAUAAAGGCAUUCAUUUCAGAGCUGGGCCUUGACAAAAUUAAUUCAACUUCUUUUUUUUAAGGAAUAGCUAUAUAUUCCAAAGUUGGCACUGAAAAUACCAUAUGAAUAAGGCUGUCAGAGACAAGUUUUGAACAUUUUACAGUCCAGAGAUAGUCAUAUAAAUAAUUAUUAUUCAGUGUGGCAGUGUUGUAAAACAGAUAGGUAUAAUGUGCUUUGGAAGCACAGAAGAGGGAACAUUUAAUUCUUUCUGAUAGGCCUCCAGAAAGUCUUUACAAAGAAGAUAGGAAAUGACAUUUAAGCCAUCUUUUGGUGAAUGGAUGUUGUUGAUCAUGAUGAUGAUAGAUGAAGAGUACAGUUAUCAUUUAAUAAGUGUCUACUUGGUACCAGAUGGCAUGCUGUGUUUACUCUACAUUCAUUUCUCACCACAACUUCAUAGGCUGUUACUGUAUCAACUUCACAGAAGUAUGUAAAUGAGUGAUCAUGACCAUAUUCUAAUAAAACUUUAUGGACACUUAAAAUUUCAAUUUUAUGCCAUUUUUAUUUGUCACAAAAUAUUAUUUUUUAAACUUUCUCCCAGUUACUUACAAAUUUAGAAACCAUUCUUAGCUCACUGGCUGUCUUUAAAAAAAAAAAAAAAUGGCAGCAGGAUAGAUUUGGCUUGUGGUCUAGUUUACUGACCUGUGCUUAAUAUGACAAAGGAGAUUUAUUGGGUAAUAGAGUAGUUUUCUUCAGUAAUUCAGUGUUCACAAGGAUCUUGGUGUUUUCUAUUUCUCUGCCAUAACUUUCAUAGUGUUAACUUGAUCCCAUAGUUUAUUCCCCCUUGUGUGUAUAAGAUGACAGAAUAUCCAGGGUCUCCAUGGGUUAUCUUCCAUGUCUAGGGAGAGACAAGACCUUUCCCAGAAGCUCUUUCUAAUCUCUCUUGAACUUAAUCCAUUUAGAUUUUACCACUUCACAGGAACCAUACUAAAUCAAAUACAUUGAACAAAUUCAGUGAUCAGUUCUCACUGUUUAUAUUACUUGACCUAUCAACAUUUGAUCUUUUCCCUUCCAUGAACUCUUUACUUGACUUCUGUACUCUUCUGGUUUUGUUCCUCUUCUCUGGCCACUACUACUUGUUGUCUGCUGGUCUCUCCUCAUACCCACAGCCUCUGCAUAUUGAAUUCAGCCCCAAGGCUUAGACCUCUGACCUCUUGUCUCUGUCUCUUGUCUAUACUCCCUUGGAUAUCAUGCAUUUUAAAUGUGAUUAUGUAAUGACUGUAUUCAUGUAUGUCUGUCCAUAUCUGCUUAUUUGUCUAAUAGGCAUCUCAAACUCAAUAUGUCCAAAAGAGAGGUUCAAACACUCUUCUCAUCCCCAAACCUGUUCUCUCACAGUCUUCCCUUUUCAGUAAGUUGCAGAUCCAUCAUUUACCCCAAACAUCAGAAUUAAUCCUGACUUCUUUUCUUUAUUUUUCUCUUCUGACAGCAGAUUCUCUCCACUACACCUUCAGAAUAUAUCCAGAAUCUGACCCCUUCUCACCACCACUACACUCCCUUAGUCCUGGUGUUCAUCUUUUCCUGGGUUUUUGCAGUAGACUCUUGGUUGGUCUCUACUUCUCUUCUCUUUCUACUUCAGUUCCAAACCACUACCCCCACUACCUUAAUGAUUUCUUUGUUAUUGUAAAAGGCAGUAGAGGGUCUGGGAAUGAAGCCAGAUUUCUGAAACCAGAGACUUAAUUUUAGGAGUACUGUUAGGUUGGUGCAAAAGUAAUUGCAGUUUUUGCAUUGUUGAAGUUUUCCAUUUAAUGUUGGAAUACAUUCUAAGUAAAUGUGGUUAUUUUAUACAUAAUUUUAAUGUACAUUUCUCUCUUUUUAUGUUUUUUUUUUGUAAAUGACAUUACUUGAUGUUUAUUUUAUAUUUAUUUUAGACUGAGAAAGAUUGAGGGCAGGA
This is a long non-coding RNA of Cervus elaphus (red deer), 2992 nucleotides long. RefSeq lists it as uncharacterized. The record is from RefSeq and is a predicted model, not a curated record. NCBI's taxonomy places the organism in Eukaryota, Metazoa, Chordata, Mammalia, Artiodactyla, Cervidae. The transcript is spliced from 3 exons.